This 253-nucleotide ribosomal RNA is filed under the name uncultured bacterium. RNAcentral describes it as "partial 16S ribosomal RNA". It matches the Rfam family "Bacterial small subunit ribosomal RNA", at positions 524 to 776 of the family's 1533-position model. The record is from RNAcentral.
UACGUAGGGUGCAAGCGUUGCCCGGAUUUAUUGGGCGUAAAGGGCGCGUAGGCGGCUCGGCACGUCCGUUGUGAAAUCGCUCGGCUCAACUGGGCGGGGUCGGCGGAUACGGCGUGGCUGGAGCAAGCUAGGGGGCAAUGGAAUUCCCGGUGUAGUGGUGGAAUGCGUAGAUAUCGGGAGGAACACCAGUGGCGAAGGCGGUUGCCUGGAGCUUUGCUGACGCUGAGGUUCGAAAGCUCGGGGAGCAAACAGG